Molecule: ribosomal RNA, 489 nt
Filed under: Singerocomus inundabilis
Lineage: Eukaryota; Fungi; Basidiomycota; Agaricomycetes; Boletales; Boletaceae
Description: eukaryotic LSU rRNA
Rfam family: Eukaryotic large subunit ribosomal RNA
Source: RNAcentral
GACGGGUGGUAAAUUCCAUCUAAAGCUAAAUACGGGCGAGAGACCGAUAGCGAACAAGUACCGUGAGGGAAAGAUGAAAAGAACUUUGGAAAGAGAGUUAAACAGUACGUGAAAUUGCUGAAAGGGAAACGCUUGAUGUCAGUCGCGUGGGCCGGGGAUCAACCUUUGCACUUUUUCGCUGGGUGUACUUCCCGGUCGACGGGUCAGCAUCAGUUUCGGUCGCCAUACAAGGGCGAGGGGAAUGUGGCACCCUUCUGGGGUGUGUUAUAGCCUUUCGUCGCAUGUGGUGCUCGAGACUGAGGAACUCAGCACGGCUUUUCAGCAGUGUGCUUUUAGGAUGCUGGCAUAAUGGCCUUAAGCGACCCGUCUUGAAACACGGACCAAGGAGUCUAACAUGCCUGCGAGUGUUUGGGUGCCAAACCCGAGCGCGUAAUGAAAGUGAACGUUGAGACCUCUGUCGUGGAGGGCACCGACGCCCGGACCUGAGUC